GCCCCAGUAACGGCGAGUGAAGCGGCAACAGCUCAAAUUUGAAAUCUGGCCCUAGGCCCGAGUUGUAAUUUGCAGAGGAUGCUUCGGGCGCGACGCCUUCCAAGUCCCCUGGAACGGGGCGCCUUAGAGGGUGAGAGCCCCGUACGGUUGGACGUCAAGCCUGUGUGAAGCUCCUUCGACGAGUCGAGUAGUUUGGGAAUGCUGCUCAAAAUGGGAGGUAGACCCCUUCUAAAGCUAAAUACCGGCCAGAGACCGAUAGCGCACAAGUAGAGUGAUCGAAAGAUGAAAAGCACUUUGAAAAGAGGGUUAAACAGCACGUGAAAUUGUUGAAAGGGAAGCGCUCGUGACCAGACUUGCGCCGGGGCGAUCAUCUGGCGUUCUCGCCGGUGCACUCGCCUCGGCUCAGGCCAGCGUCGGUUCGGGAGGGGGGACAAAGGCGUCGGGGAUGUGGCUCCCUCGGGAGUGUUAUAGCCCGGCGUGCAAUGCCCCCGCCCGGACCGAGGUUCGCGCUCUGCAAGGACGCUGGCGUAAUGGUCACCAGCGGCCCGUCUUGAAACACGGACCAAGGAGUCGAGGUUCUGCGCGAGUGUUUGGGUGUCAAACCCGCACGCGUAAUGAAAGUGAACGUAGGUGGGAGCCUCGGCGCACCACCGACCGAUCCUGAUGUUCUCGGAUGGAUUUGAGUAGGAGCGUAGGGCCUCGGACCCGAAAGAUGGUGAACUAUGCUUGGAUAGGGUGAAGCCAGAGGAAACUCUGGUGGAGGCUCGCAGCGGUUCUGACGUGCAAAUCGAUCGUCAAAUCUGAGCAUGGGGGCGAAAGACUAAUCGAACCAUCUAGUA
Molecule: ribosomal RNA, 839 nt
Filed under: Dictyochaeta guizhouensis
Lineage: Eukaryota; Fungi; Ascomycota; Sordariomycetes; Chaetosphaeriales; Chaetosphaeriaceae
Description: partial large subunit ribosomal RNA
Rfam family: Eukaryotic large subunit ribosomal RNA
Source: RNAcentral